This 253-nucleotide ribosomal RNA is filed under the name uncultured bacterium. Its description in RNAcentral is "partial 16S ribosomal RNA". It matches the Rfam family "Bacterial small subunit ribosomal RNA", at positions 524 to 776 of the family's 1533-position model. The record is from RNAcentral.
UACGUAGGCAGCAAACGUUGUUCGGAAUUACUGGGCGUAAAGAGUGUGUAGGCGGCUUUGUAAGUCUGGUGUGAAAUCUCCCGGCUUAACUGGGAGGGUGCGCUAGAAACUGCAAGGCUCGAGUAUCGGAGAGGAAAGCGGAAUUCCUGGUGUAGCGGUGAAAUGCGUAGAUAUCAGGAGGAACACCGGUGGUGUAGACGGCUUUCUGGACGAUCACUGACGCUGAGACACGAAAGCGUGGGGAGCAAACAGG